RNAcentral lists this long non-coding RNA (246 nucleotides) under Elaeis guineensis (African oil palm). RNAcentral's name for it is "long non-coding RNA (EGUI_LNC075074)". Lineage: Eukaryota; Viridiplantae; Streptophyta; Magnoliopsida; Arecales; Arecaceae. The record is from RNAcentral.
UUGGAAACUAAAAACAUCAGAAAGAAAGAAUAACAAAAAAGAAGGUAAAAAAAACAUGGUCAAUUUGGUAAUACUAUGACAUAAAAAAAUAUAAACAGUCAAUACAACCAAAUCUAAGCAAACAAACACUUGAAGGUUAACAAUGCCUCUACAAAUGUGGUGGGUCCAAAGCAAGGUUUAGCUUAAUCCCAAAAAUUAAAAAAUUGAAUAGAUAGGAGUUAGAUUUCAAAUCAUUUAAUGUGCCAC